RNAcentral lists this ribosomal RNA (790 nucleotides) under uncultured archaeon. Its description in RNAcentral is "bacterial SSU rRNA". It matches the Rfam family "Archaeal small subunit ribosomal RNA", at positions 85 to 879 of the family's 1478-position model. The record is from RNAcentral.
ACUGCUCAGUAACACGUCGAUAAUCUGCCUUUAGGUCUGGAAUAACCUUGGUAAACUGAGGGUAAUACCGGAUAGGGAAAUUCUACUGGGAUGUGUUUUUCCCCAAAGUUUCGACGCCUAAAGAUGAGUCGGCGGCGGAUUAGGUUGUUGGUGGGGUAAUGGCCCACCAAGCCGAAGAUCCGUAGGGGCCUUGAAAGAGGUAGCCCCGAGAAGGACACUGAGAUACUGGUCCUAGCCCCACGGGGUGCAGCAGUCGCGAAACCUUGUCAAUGCACGCAAGUGCGAACAGGGAAUCCUGAGUGCUCAUGUUUUGCAUGGGCUUUUGCCAAGAGUUAAUAUCUUGGCGAAUAAGUGGUGGGUAAGACUGGUGCCAGCAGCCGCGGUAACACCAGCGCCACAAGUGGGAAUCGUAUAUUUGGCCUAAAGCGUCCGUAGCCGGACUGGCAAAUCUUCUGUGAAAUCGAACAGCCUAACCGUUCGGCGCGCAGGGGACACUACCAAUCUUGGAACCGGGAGGGGUACAGAGUAUUCUGGGGGAAGCGGUAAAAUGCUAUAAUCCCCAGAGGACUACCGAUGGCGAAGGCACUGUACCAGAACGGAUUCGACGGUGAGGGACGAAAGCCAGGGGAGCGAUCCGGAUUAGAUACCCGAGUAGUCCUGGCUGUAAACUCUGCGAGCUAGGUGUUGCGCAUUCUCCGUGAAUGUGCAGUAUCGUAGCGAAGGCGUUUAGCUCGCCGCCUGGGAAGUAUGGUCGCAAGGCUGAAACUUAAAGGAAUUGGCGGGGGAGCAC